RNAcentral lists this long non-coding RNA (421 nucleotides) under Homo sapiens (human). Its description in RNAcentral is "non-protein coding lnc-MFSD6-1:8". The record is from RNAcentral. Lineage: Eukaryota; Metazoa; Chordata; Mammalia; Primates; Hominidae.
GCGGCCUCGGGGCACGGCGGGCCCAGGCCGGAGGAGCUUUCGGUGGCGCGACCCCGCUGGCAUGCUCCCGGCCUCGGCCUCGGCCUCGGCCUUGGCCUCCGGGCCUCCAGCGCACGCGGGGCGUCCAGGGCCUCAUCUUCCCCUGGGGACCGCCCGGCCGUGUCCCGCUGCCCUCGGCGCAGGGGUGGGAGUUGCAGAGAGGAAGAGUCGCUAACCCGGAGUGUUUCUUAAAACUUGGCUGACCUGUGACCUGCGGAUUUGGAGGCUGAAUUCUCCGAGCACCUGUGCGGUGUGCACUUGCUUCUUGCAAGACAGCUUUUGUACCUAACCACAUUCAUUUUGAUUUGGUUUAAUUUUGGAUGGCACUAUGGAAAGUAGCUAAAAUAAACAGGAAGCUACUGCAGGAUAUAAUCUAAGAAAA